This 379-nucleotide unclassified non-coding RNA is filed under the name plant metagenome. RNAcentral describes it as "partial contains 5.8S ribosomal RNA, internal transcribed spacer 2, and large subunit ribosomal RNA". The stretch from base 1 to 105 matches the Rfam family "5.8S ribosomal RNA", at positions 50 to 154 of the family's 154-position model. The record is from RNAcentral.
GAAAUGCGAUAAGUAAUGUGAAUUGCAGAAUUCAGUGAAUCAUCGAAUCUUUGAACGCACCUUGCGCUCCUUGGUAUUCCUUGGAGCAUGCCUGUUUGAGUAUCAUGAAAUCUUCAAAGUAAAUCUUUUGUUAACUCAAUUGGUUUCUACUUUGGUAUUGGAGGUCUUUGCAGCUUCACACCUGCUCCUCUUUGUUCAUUAGCUGGAUCUCAGUGUUAUGCUUGGUUCCACUCGGCGUGAUAAGUUUAUCUAUCGCUGAGGACACUGUAAAAGGUGGCCAAGGUAAAUGCAGAUGAACCGCUUCUAAUAGUCCAUUGACUUGGACAAUACUUUUAUGAUCUGAUCUCAAAUCAGGUAGGACUACCCGCUGAACUUAAGC